GAGGGGAUAGCUCCAGUGGUAGAGCACAUACUUAGCAAGCAUGAAGUUCUGGGUUUAAUCCCCUGUACCUCCA
This 73-nucleotide transfer RNA is filed under the name Camelus bactrianus (Bactrian camel). It matches the Rfam family "tRNA". From Rfam's summary of the family: Transfer RNA (tRNA) molecules are approximately 80 nucleotides in length. Their secondary structure includes four short double-helical elements and three loops (D, anti-codon, and T loops). RNAcentral also lists the same sequence under 2 other names. The record is from Rfam by way of RNAcentral. Lineage: Eukaryota; Metazoa; Chordata; Mammalia; Artiodactyla; Camelidae.